UGGGGAAUCUUGCGCAAUGGGCGAAAGCCUGACGCAGCAACGCCGCGUGCGGGAUGAAGGCCUUCGGGUUGUAAACCGCUUUCAGCAGGGACGAAACUGACGGUACCUGCAGAAGAAGCCCCGGCCAACUACGUGCCAGCAGCCGCGGUAAUACGUAGGGGGCGAGCGUUGUCCGGAUUUAUUGGGCGUAAAGAGCUCGUAGGCGGUUGGGUAAGUCGGGUGUGAAAACUCAGGGCUCAACUCUGAGACGCCACUCGAUACUGCCCUGACUUGAGUCCGGUAGGGGAGCGUGGAAUUCCCGGUGUAGCGGUGAAAUGCGCAGAUAUCGGGAGGAACACCAGUGGCGAAGGCGGCGCUCUGGGCCGGAACUGACGCUGAGGAGCGAAAGCGUGGGUAGCAAACAGGAUUAGAUACCCUGGUAGUCCACGCCGUAAACGUUGGGCACGUAGGUGUGGGGGCUCGUAUCGACGGGCUCCGUGCCGUAGCUAACGCAUUAAGU
This 499-nucleotide ribosomal RNA is filed under the name uncultured Actinomycetes bacterium. Its description in RNAcentral is "bacterial SSU rRNA". It matches the Rfam family "Bacterial small subunit ribosomal RNA", at positions 355 to 865 of the family's 1533-position model. Lineage: Bacteria; Bacillati; Actinomycetota; Actinomycetes. The record is from RNAcentral.